This 241-nucleotide ribosomal RNA is filed under the name uncultured bacterium. Its description in RNAcentral is "partial 16S ribosomal RNA". It matches the Rfam family "Bacterial small subunit ribosomal RNA", at positions 334 to 589 of the family's 1533-position model. The record is from RNAcentral.
CGAUCCUACGGGGCGCAGCAGUGGGGAAUAUUGCACAAUGGGCGAAAGCCUGAUGCAGCAACGCCGCGUGAAGGAAGACGGUUUUCGGAUUGUAAAAUUCUAUCAAUAGGGAAGAAAGAAAUGACGGUACCUAAAUAAGAAGCCCCGGCUAACUACGUGCCAGCAGCCGCGGUAAUACGUAGGGGGCAAGCGUUAUCCGGGAUUACUGGGUGUAACGGGAGAGUAGGGGGCAAGGGAAGCG